CCGACCUUAGCUCAGUUGGUAGAGCGGAGGACUGUAGUAUGUUGUGCAGAAUAAUCCUUAGGUCGCUGGUUCGAAUCCGGCAGGUCGGA
Molecule: transfer RNA, 89 nt
Filed under: Zostera marina
Lineage: Eukaryota; Viridiplantae; Streptophyta; Magnoliopsida; Alismatales; Zosteraceae
Rfam family: tRNA
About the family: Transfer RNA (tRNA) molecules are approximately 80 nucleotides in length. Their secondary structure includes four short double-helical elements and three loops (D, anti-codon, and T loops).
Source: Rfam by way of RNAcentral